RNAcentral lists this long non-coding RNA (288 nucleotides) under Ananas comosus (pineapple). RNAcentral describes it as "long non-coding RNA (ACOM_LNC036672)". The record is from RNAcentral. Lineage: Eukaryota; Viridiplantae; Streptophyta; Magnoliopsida; Poales; Bromeliaceae.
GGCACGUGACUGUGAGUUGUUAGACCAGUUAGUGUUGGUUAUCUGGACUUUGGCUUGAGAGAGCCUGAUUGAGCUCGACAGAGAUACGCUGCAUACUCGGUUGGGUAGCUCCCACGAGUGCCACUCCGGAGGCGGGCGCUGUGCUUUCGCGUUGGUGUCGUGCAUGCCGGUUAGACUUGCUCUCCACGGACUGGUUAGUGUGGAGGUAGCUGGAUAGUCUCAACUGGGCGGGACGGGUGUAUUCACCGUCCCUGGGACGGGUAUGUUUAUAGUCCCUAAAGAGAUUGG